GUGAGAGGUAGUAAGGUGGUUAGUAGCACUGGGUCGGUCUUCUUGCCGGUGUCUUCUGAGGUUCCUCCCUCAAGGGCACAGGUAUUGGGGCAUUUGACCAGGGUGCGGCGCGUUGUGUCGGGGCAUGCGGUGCCGGGAGCCCAACAGUACCAGAAAUGGAGGCCUGCUGUCGGUUACUCGGUUAUCAAUGUCACGGCCGACCCCUAAGGUGGUGGAGACGUUUAUAACUCUCCUCCGGGGUCGCGUUCUCUGGGGGACCUGCAUACGGCCUGGAUCGUAUGGGGGCCCCUGGCCGGCCGGUCUGGUGUAGCGCUAAUCACUCUUGACUUCGACUCGGACGCCUUGCGUCGGCUACUGUUAGGGGACUGCCAGUAGUCGGCCAAUCACGGAGGUGCUCUGGGUCUGGUCAAGAUCUCUCGACACAGCUUAGCCGUGAGCACUCUUCGGUGCAGGGCAAACGCGUCCUGGCUCCUUGGAAGGGGACUCGAGGAGAACUCUGCUUCAAGCCGGAAAGUCCGGUGAAACGCCGAGGCACAGUUUGACUCUGAGAAUCCGACCCGGAGGUGGACCCUCUUCGGAGGGUCUUUGGAACGUUUGCCUCCCGUGCCGACGGGUGUCUCUCAUGCGGCAACCAGUACGCAGCCAAGGCGGCGUUGUCUUCUUCGGAGGGCACGCUGCCCUUGGCUGUCCACACUGUUAAAACCUGUAGCAACUAAGGCUCAGCGAGCCGCACUUGAAAAACGCGAGGGUUCCGGCCCUCGCGCAACGACAGGACCACGCCGGAUGAGUGGGUUGCAAGUGACUCCAGAUCGCCCGUGCCUUUGGCUCUGUAACUCGUUAACAGCGAGGAGGCAGUGACUAGGGCGAAAGGGAAUCAGAUCUGAGAGUAACUCUUCCCUCGCCGGCGUGACGUCCGGGCCUUCGGGCCGCUAAAGCAGAACUGAUAUAUUUAUAUCUUGCGGGAGGAAACCGGGGCUCACGUGGUCCCAGCUCCCACCACGACGGUGCCGCCCAUCCCAUUGAGGAAGUUUCUCGGUUCCCUUGCAAAAGGGUCCCGUAUUCCUCUCUCGGGGCUAAGGGCGGUGGAGACCGUCACGGGAUUUUUUGAAGGGUUGCCCUCGACUCGCUCCGUGCGAGCAGGGGGUUCCCUCAAAGACCCACACUUAUCUGGUUGAUCCUGCCAGUAGUCAUAUGCUUGUCUCAAAGCUUAAGCCAUGCAAGUCUCAGUGCAAACUUAAUUAAAGUGAAACCGCAAAAAGCUCAUUAAAUCAGUUAUGGUUUACUGGCGCAUCCAUUUUUAUGGAUAACUGUGGUAAUCCUAGAGCUAAUACAUGCAACACAAGUCCUGUCCAGUAAUGGUAGGGACGCUUUUAUUAGGUCAAAACCAAUCGGUACGGCUCGUUCCGUUCCGUCUCUUUUUGACGACUCUGGGUAACCUGAACGAUCGCACGGUCCUCGUACCGGCGACGCACCUUUCAAAUGACUGACUUAUCAACUGUCGAUGGUAGAUUUUUUGUCUACCAUGGUUGUAACGGGUAACGGGGAAUCAGGGUUCGAUUCCGGAGAGGGAGCCUGAGAAACUGCUACCACAUCCAAGGAAGGCAGCAGGCACGCAAAUUACCCACUCCCGGCACGGGGAGGUAGUGACAAAAAAUAACGAUACGGGACUCAUCCGAGGCCCCGUAAUCGGAAUGAGUACACUUUAAAUCCUUUAACAAGGAUCCAUUGGAGGGCAAGUCUGGUGCCAGCAGCCGCGGUAACUCCAGCUCCAACAGCGUAUAUUAAAGCUGUUGCGGUUAAAAAGCUCGUAGUUGGUUCUGUGUGCCACGCUGUCGGUUCACCGCCUGCCGGUGCAACUGACAUGUCGUGGGAUGUCUUGCCGGAGGGGGCCGAAACCCUUCCCUAGUGUUGGGCCUAGGUCCUCGCAAUGCUGCCAGGGUGCUCUUUACCGAGUGUCGGGGCAGGCCGGCAAGAUUACUUUGAACAAAUUAGAGUGCUUAAAGCGGG
Molecule: ribosomal RNA, 2007 nt
Filed under: Microvelia pulchella
Lineage: Eukaryota; Metazoa; Arthropoda; Insecta; Hemiptera; Veliidae
Description: bacterial SSU rRNA
Rfam family: Eukaryotic small subunit ribosomal RNA (bases 1165-2007)
Source: RNAcentral